Non-coding RNA from Python bivittatus (Burmese python), 1534 nucleotides. NCBI's taxonomy places the organism in Eukaryota, Metazoa, Chordata, Lepidosauria, Squamata, Pythonidae. The record is from RefSeq and is a predicted model, not a curated record.
CCUAGGUGUGAUUAUCUUUCUUCAGAUACCAUCAGAUUUGGGAAUAUGGAUUAUUCUAUACUGUAUUCAUCCUGAAGCAGAUAAGCCAUGAAUUCAUAAAAGAAGGCUUUCUAGUCAUGUAUUUCCUGCUGAAUAAGGAACGGCAUCCACAGAAGUUCUGCAAGCAUGUUUCUGAUGCUGAAGUCUUAAUUUUACAGCUGGCUGUUAUUUUUGAUGGCUUAGAUCAGAGACUGAAUCCAGUUUCCUUACUUCCUCCAAAUAACUCUACACAGAGACAGUUGUCGCAAGCCAGGGAUAUAACAGUUGCUACCAUCACCACACCCUGCUGAAAAAGCCAUAUAAUGGUCAGUGUGCCUAAGGAAAUGGAGAAAGGAUCAUCCAAGGACAUCACUUGGGCAAGCAUCUAGCAAAAGACAGUAUCCCAUCCAGACAUGACAGACUCAAUCCUGGGUUGUUUCAGCAAGGUAGGACUCUCAUGUGCCAUCAGGGCCUGUCCCCUGAGGUCACUUCAUUCCUAUUGACAAAGCAAUUCUUCUCAGUGCUAAAUGUUGCAGGUAAGAUGAUUUUCUUCAUACGUUAUUCUAAAACAAUUUUCCCCUUGAUUUUUUCAAGCCAGCUGUCUCCCCAUCAUAUUUUAAUUUUUCUGGAAUAAUUGAUGAAAUGUCUUUUCUCCAAUUGUUCUGGGUGAUUGAAAGAGAGGAUGCUCUGAUAUCAGCAUUCCCACUGUUUGUGUUCUAAGUUAAAAUAUAUUAACAUAAAUGUUACGAUGUAUGAGCUUUUUAAAAAAUCAUGGCUGUAAUCAUUAACGCUGUAUGGAUUCUAUCAACAUGCAGACCUGAUUUUUUUUUCCUGAGCUUGAUCUCCUCAAAGGCUGAGCAUAGAACAUGGACCAUUUUCUUUAAAUUGGGAGAAGUUCUAAAAAUACUUUCCCAUUUAAAAAUAUUAAUGUGAAUCAUGAAUUCAAGGUACUGAUAGAGCUAUUUGGGGAUUUCAUGAGGAGCAGGGACUGACAGACGGGUUUUUAUUUCUAGAACUAAUUGGUAUAUGCAUGGAUUAGCCAUAGGUCAGAUACAAUUCUUUUUUAUUUCUUUUAUUCUGUUAUUAUAACAUGUGAGGGUGAUCUGGCUGUGACAUCUGUUACCCCGUUGAUUGCCAGGGUUGAUUCAGCUGAUCUGGCUGGCUAGGCGGGUGUCCCCUUCCACCCUCACCGCUCCAUGUGUGUCCCUCCCAAAGCUGCAUGCUUGGUGGAAGAGGAUGAGCAUCCCAGAUAGAAGGAGUGUACUGAUCUUCGGUCAAGGGUAUAUGUUGGCUGCGCUCCCCUGCUAGAACCUCCAAACAAGCUCAGAUACAAUUCUUAAAGCAACUUGAGUAUAACUACUUCACAAGUUUCAAAAUCUGCUAUAGCAGUAUAUAUAAUACACCCUUCAGUCACAAUCCAGACUCUAGAAAUCCCAUUUGUUUUGGCUAUCCACCAAAUUUGGACAAUCUUAUAGACAUCAUAGAUAACAAUGUAAUACAGAAAAAAAGAACAGUG